Molecule: transfer RNA, 73 nt
Filed under: Camelus bactrianus (Bactrian camel)
Lineage: Eukaryota; Metazoa; Chordata; Mammalia; Artiodactyla; Camelidae
Also listed under: 2 other names
Rfam family: tRNA
About the family: Transfer RNA (tRNA) molecules are approximately 80 nucleotides in length. Their secondary structure includes four short double-helical elements and three loops (D, anti-codon, and T loops).
Source: Rfam by way of RNAcentral
GCAUAUAUAGCUCAAGUGGUAGAGUGCAUGAUUAGUAUGCAUGAGGUCCUGGGUUCAAUCCCCUGUACCUCCU